Molecule: transfer RNA, 85 nt
Filed under: Isobaculum melis
Lineage: Bacteria; Bacillati; Bacillota; Bacilli; Lactobacillales; Carnobacteriaceae
Rfam family: tRNA
About the family: Transfer RNA (tRNA) molecules are approximately 80 nucleotides in length.
Source: Rfam by way of RNAcentral
GCGAGAGUGGUGGAAUUGGCAGACACGCAAGGUUGAGGGCUUUGUGAGCAUUGCGCUCGUGUGGGUUCGAGUCCCAUCUCUCGCA